Long non-coding RNA from Falco peregrinus (peregrine falcon), 2115 nucleotides. RefSeq lists it as uncharacterized. The record is from RefSeq and is a predicted model, not a curated record. The transcript has 6 exons. Lineage: Eukaryota; Metazoa; Chordata; Aves; Falconiformes; Falconidae.
CCGCAGCAGCGCCACCCCCUCCCCUCCCCUGGCCGCCCCUCCCGGAGCGGCGCCCGCCCCCGCCGCCGGCGCGGAGGGGGGAUGCCGGCCGGGGGCGGCGGGCGCGGGGGGAGGCCCGAGGCUGGAGAGGUGCGUGCUCGGAUUGCCGGAGCGCCGGUCUCGACCCGUGCGUACCCAAAUGAAGCUGCCAUUUGUGAGCUGUGAGUGACGAGCGUGUGUGUCUCUUAAUUUUCCACUACUGCCAGCUUCCUCCUGUGUCUUCAGUGGUGGUUACCCUGCAGAUGUGAGUGGCUGGCUGAGAAAGACAUGCUGCUGGGCCAGGCAGCAGCUGCCUGGAAAGAGCAGUCUGCCAUAAAUAUAAUUCAUCUGGAGAAGGACCUGACACCUUUGGUGGACAGAUCCGAUACAGUGGAAUGAAAUCCCAUGAGAAACAAUGACCAUUUCACACCUCGUUCAUUUGUGUGCUGGAACCAUCCCUGUCCUAUGGGAUGGUGAACAGACGACUGGAAGAUAAAUAUAUUUUUUUACCAUUUGCAGUUUCUAAGAUCUUCUUUCCUGACAGGAAACCUGUCCCAGCAGUUUUCUAAGUUUGAAAGUAUGAUGAUAGCCCUAUAAUAUUCUGGCUAUUCCUCCUUACAGAUCUCUUAACAACACAUGAAGAGCUGCAGAUCUUGACUGAUUUAAUGUAUUUAAAUUUCCCUUAUGGAGAACUGGAUUUGAAGUGCUUGGGAUUGCAAUCGAAAUGAAUUUGAUGGUUCAGCUCUGCCUCUAAUGGAUUACAGUAUGAAUGUCAUCAACUUCAUAUUACAGUAAAAAGUGUAAUCUCCUUCCAAAUUUAGAAGUCUGGAAGUGAAGAGAGUGGCUGAAGUCCAUCUUUUGAUCCCAGAAAGAAUGCAGAGAGGGAAUUAAUACCAGUCUUCAUUCAGAAGAGUCUAUUUGCUGAGCAUCUGCUUUCUUGACGUGGGAAGGCAUAACUGAAAUCUGAAGAAACAUUUAAAAAUAUCAAAUUAGCCACAGGAUGUGAAUCCUAAUUUUACAAUGAUGGAAUAAAACAUUGAUAUGCAAGACGUUAGGAAAAAAUGUUUCUGCUGUUGGUUGCCCCUUUUUCUCUUUUCAUUUUCAGAUGCUUUCAGUAUCCUGCGUCUGUGAGUGGAGUUGUAUGAGGUAUGGGUGAAAUUGCAGCUGAAAAAAUAAAAACAAAACCUUGAGACAUUUACACAUACCCGCUUUAAGAAUCAGAUUGGCUUCAGUAGUGUCUGUGUUUUCAUUUUGUAACAUGCCUUCACUAUCUGUAAAGUAUGACAUUUUCUGGCAGGAUUUUUGUGGAAAUAGAUAGUACUAAACUAAUAGAAGAGAACAGUCAUGUAAAGUGAGUUCACUAACAUAAUUCAUAUUUCCAAUCAGGCAAAAACCGUAGUGUCAACAUAACUUCAAUUCAAUACAAUUCCUUUGUUGAAUUUCAAGUACUCAAUAAAUGGCUCACAAGUGAUUAUUCUUAGAAACUGUAUGUCACAUCACUACCUAAAGGUACAUGGAGAAAAACAGUUAUAGCUCUUAAUUAACUCAUAAACAGAAAACAGAAACAAACCUCUUCUAACAGAAUUAUUUUAUAGGAAUUGUGAACUCAGUUUUACCUUUGAUAAACUGGACUUUUCUGUUUUGCCAUGAAACCUAUAAUAUACUAGUUUCUGUGUUUUGAACAGUAUCAUGAUGCCCAAACCUUAAGUUCAGCCUACAUAAUCAGCAACUCAGCUAUAGGUGUUUUUUAGCUCUUUGCUUUUGCGUCAAGAUAGGCAGCCUGGUACCAGGAAUCAUGGCUGACUCAGAUCUGUGUAUAUUUGUUUUAAACAUUUGUUUUGGUUUUAACCUGGGACUCAAGAGUAAAAAACUAUAGAUGAAGAUCUGUGUGCACUGAAGAUGAAAAAAAUGUUUGCAUCAACCCUCGCACUGUGAAACUGCAGAACAAUGUACAGCUUGAGGUGUGACUCAGGCUCACUUAAGCAAAUCCACCAUGAAAAGUCAAAAUCACUUAUGGGGGUUAAAUAUGAAUAAAAUGUCAUUUUAAUAGUCUUUCUAAUCCUCAAAAGAUUCAGAAGAUGUUUUAGGUUUUCUCUG